Molecule: ribosomal RNA, 501 nt
Filed under: uncultured bacterium
Lineage: Bacteria
Description: partial 16S ribosomal RNA
Rfam family: Bacterial small subunit ribosomal RNA
Source: RNAcentral
AUUGAACGCUGGCGGCAGGCUUAACACAUGCAAGUCGAGCGGGGUGAUGGUGCUUGCACUAUCACUUAGCGGCGGACGGGUGAGUAAUGCUUAGGAAUCUGCCUAUUAGUGGGGGACAACAUCUCGAAAGGGAUGCUAAUACCGCAUACGUCCUACGGGAGAAAGCAGGGGAUCUUCGGACCUUGCGCUAAUAGAUGAGCCUAAGUCGGAUUAGCUAGUUGGUGGGGUAAAGGCCUACCAAGGCGACGAUCUGUAGCGGGUCUGAGAGGAUGAUCCGCCACACUGGGACUGAGACACGGCCCAGACUCCUACGGGAGGCAGCAGUGGGGAAUUUUGGACAAUGGGGGGAACCCUGAUCCAGCCAUGCCGCGUGUGUGAAGAAGGCCUUAUGGUUGUAAAGCACUUUAAGCGAGGAGGAGGCUCUUUUGGUUAAUACCCAAGAUGAGUGGACGUUACUCGCAGAAUAAGCACCGGCUAACUCUGUGCCAGCCGCCGCCGUAA